Molecule: long non-coding RNA, 844 nt
Organism: Cavia porcellus (domestic guinea pig)
Lineage: Eukaryota; Metazoa; Chordata; Mammalia; Rodentia; Caviidae
Exons: 3
Source: RefSeq, a predicted model, not a curated record
CACAGAAGUCCCAGAGGCUUCCACCAAGCGGGAAAGGCAACUAGAAAAACACCAUCUGCACUGAGUUCCCUCCAAGUUUCGGUUUUAGCUGGUUAAACCUAAUUGAGAGAAUCCUUUGAGUGGGAACGGAAGUCCCAGAUGAAGACAGCGAGGCUUGUGACAUGGAGCCAUUUGCUGAAGAGCAGAGCAGGGACAUCAGAAGAUGUGGAAGUGAUCUAUACACUGGGAUUGCCUUACCCACUGCUUCACCUUGCUGUGCCCAGAUUGGCCCUGAAUACCUGGAAGCUCUUGUCACAUUCAUAUUCCCAACAGAUGUGCAGGAAAAACCUCAAUAUGGCCCCUUUUAAAACCCUUGCCUUUGCUGUAAGUGCCCAGUGCCAGAGUGUGUGCUGAGAGCCCCUGAACUGUCACAUGGAGUGAGGUUAUCACUGAGAAUAGGCACAGGAGUUACUGGUGUCAAGAAUCCUCAAGGGCCACCUCAGAUGACUCAAACCACAACUGCAGAAAACCUCCAAGAGCUUAUCACAAUGCACUGGAAUGGUCACUACUUCGGUUGCUGACCUUGUCAAGAACAGGUGGGGCCCAGAACCACCACUAAGAUGGUGGAUGUAAGCACCAACACAUGUAUUCAGAGAUUACUGACAAAUGCAGAAGGAAGGAAGGAAAUGGGAAGUAGGAAACACCUAUAAAGCCAGCAGAUUGAAAGUAAUAGGAAAACAAACUCCAUGGAGUGGAAGGAAGUCUGCAGAGAACAGUGCUCCAAGCUGUCCUUGGCUGGCCUCAUGCUCGUCAUGGGAAGAAAGGGCACUCAGCACUUAGAAGAAAGCCCUUGCUCACCAAGGAG